Molecule: long non-coding RNA, 1992 nt
Filed under: Macaca fascicularis (crab-eating macaque)
Lineage: Eukaryota; Metazoa; Chordata; Mammalia; Primates; Cercopithecidae
Description: lncRNA (ENSMFAG00000053937.1)
Source: RNAcentral
AAAUGCAUGUUUUAUUCUUAUUCAGGCAUGGUGAAGCCAAUAUAUCAGGAGACAACCAUCAUUUAAAAGGUGGCUUGUUACUUUCAGUGUCCAAGAGGAAGGUGCACACCAAGCCUGGUAUGAGGGCACCUGGGGAAGCACUAGGGUGGGUCAGGAGGCAGAAGGGGUUGGGGGAAAACGUGGGCUGGAGCCUCCCUUGUGGUUUCCCUGGGAAGAAACGGAGAGGCAGAGUGACGGGCUUGAGUGACAGGCUUGGGGUUGGCUGGUUUGAAUCUGUUUGGAGACUCUGGACACAGUAGCUAUCCCUAGUUGUCUGGCACCAGGCACUGGGGUGCAGGGCAGGUGGGUCGUGGCCCUGGAGUGUAAGAGCCAGUGAAAGAGGUGGUUGGCGGUAUUGCCUCUGAAUUGGUUGGUUUGCAUCUGAAAGGUGAGUUGUUUGCUCUCCAGGAGUGAGUAACCCUGGGAGGGGUGUCCUUCCAGGGUCCACAGACCCCAAGAUGUUAAAGCAUCACAAUAAAAAGGUGCAUUUAAUACAAGAAGGACGAGCACAUGAGCUGGCAUCUAUGGUUGUCAUAUCCCUUCGGAGCCUCGGAUAAUAAGUCUUCAAGAAAGGAGGAGAAAAUGGACUUCAGUGAAGGGUAAAUAUGUGUGAACAAUACACAAGCUCAUAGCUAGGGAGAUACAGGAGGAGGAAAACCUGGAAAAAAGAGCAGUUCAGAGAGUAGAAGUGUCCCUAAUAAUAUGACAGGCUAGGAUCUUUCAGGCUCUGGAAUAUCCACCUAGCUUCAGAACCAAAAGUACCAAAUAUUGAGAAAUUAAAAAUAUAUAUUUUUCUUAACCAUUUCAUAAGAAUAAAAGAAGGGCCCGGGCACUGUGGCUCAUGCCUGUAAUCCCAGCACUUUGGGAGGCCGAGGCAGGCAGAUCACGAGGUCAGGAGUUCAAGACCAGCCUGACAAAAACAUGGUGAAACCCUAUUUCUACUAAACAAACAAACAAACAAACAAACAAAAAUUUGCCAGGCGUGGUGGUGCCCAUCUGUAAUCCCAGCUACUCAGGAGGCUGAGUCAGGAGAAUCGCCUGAACCUGGGAGGCAGAAGUUGCAGUGAGCCGAGACUGUGCCACUGCACUCCAGCCUGGGUGACAGAGUGAGACUCCACCAAAAAAAAAGAAGUAAAGGUAGAUCAUGAAUAAAAGAUUGGCAGCCAAAUACCCUCUGUUUAAAUAGAGAUAAGCCUGAAAUUGUGGUUUAUUAUAAAUGCUUCAUGUAUCAGAAUUGAGAUGCUGUAGAAUAACUCUUCUAGAAUUGCCAAUUUAGAUUCAUAAUUUGUGUCCAGAGUCCACGAUGAACCUGCCUGGGGGGAUGGAAGGGGCGCAAGGACCUGGCCCUGGAACCAGAGAGCACGCAGGCUUUCAUCCUGGCCCCUCCAGCACCACCAUGUGACCAUUUGAAAGUCACUCACCUCCCUGAGCCUCAGCAACAGCACGUGGACCCGGAAGGCCAACCUUUUAAGACCCUUAUGAGGCUUAAAUGAGAUCACACACAUAAAUCCUGCAGACCAUGCCUUGCACCCAGAGUGUGCCUCCACAAGCUUCAGCUCUGUCCAUAUGACAAAAAUAUAAUCCUAUAAUCCUCACAAAAUUACCCAUGUCUUUUUAACUAUAAACCUGAUACGUUUCUCAGGUGAUAAGCAGAUUAACCUAGCAAAAAAAGGGGUCACGGUAAAGGUUAAUGGACUAGCCCAAAUUCAAAGCCAGUGGGGCUACAAGACAUGAACCCCCUAAGGAGAAGAGCAGUUACAAUGUGUAUGUCUCUGUGCAAGUCAUUUUACGCAUAGUGAACUCAACAAAUUGGUUACUGUGGAAGGAAAUCUGGAUACUUCUGAAAACCAAAAAAACAAACACAAAUAAAAUGUGAGAGAUGGCACCAGAAAUCAUCUGUGUGUUUGGCUGCUGAUGUGGUUUGGCUGUGUCCCCACCCAAAUCACAUCUUGA